This 577-nucleotide ribosomal RNA is filed under the name uncultured bacterium. RNAcentral's name for it is "bacterial SSU rRNA". It matches the Rfam family "Bacterial small subunit ribosomal RNA", at positions 346 to 916 of the family's 1533-position model. The record is from RNAcentral.
AGGCAGCAGUGGGGAAUUUUGGACAAUGGGCGAAAGCCUGAUCCAGCAAUGCCGCGUGCAGGAAGAAGGCCUUCGGGUUGUAAACUGCUUUUGUACGGAACGAAAAAGUCUGCCUUAAUACGGUGGGCCCAUGACGGUACCGUAAGAAUAAGCACCGGCUAACUACGUGCCAGCAGCCGCGGUAAUACGUAGGGUGCGAGCGUUAAUCGGAAUUACUGGGCGUAAAGCGUGCGCAGGCGGUGAUGCAAGACAGUUGUGAAAUCCCCGGGCUCAACCUGGGAAUUGCAUCUGUGACUGCAUCGCUAGAGUACGGUAGAGGGGGAUGGAAUUCCGCGUGUAGCAGUGAAAUGCGUAGAUAUGCGGAGGAACGCCGAUGGCGAAGGCAAUCCCCUGGACCUGUACUGACGCUCAUGCACGAAAGCGUGGGGAGCAAACAGGAUUAGAUACCCUGGUAGUCCACGCCCUAAACGAUGUCAACUGGUUGUUGGGUGCAUUAGUACUCAGUAACGAAGCUAACGCGUGAAGUUGACCGCCUGGGGAGUACGGCCGCAAGGUUGAAACUCAAAUGAAUUGACGG